GGUUUUUAACAAAGUCAAACAUCAUUUAGCUAAUAAUGAAGUCUCUCUUCCCAGGUAACAGGUGAGUUAGUUGAUGAUUUGAACAGUUGGGAUGUCUUGCGAGCUGCAUUGCCAGUGGGGACAGUUAGCGGAGCACCAAAGGUGAAAGCAAUGGAGUUGAUUGAUCAGCUGGAGGUUACCAGGCGUGGACCGUACAGCGGUGGGUUUGGUGGAAUUUCAUUUUCAGGAGACAUGGAUAUAGCCCUUGCUCUAAGGACCAUUGUCUUCCCCACCAAUACCCGUUACGACACCAUUUACUCGUAUAAGGAUGCGAACCGCCGAUUGGAAUGGGUAGCUCACCUCCAAGCUGGCGCUGGCAUUGUGGCGGACAGUGAUCCUGGAGAUGAACAAAGGGAAUGUGAGAACAAAGCCGCCGCACUUGCCCGUGCAAUUGACCUUGCAGAGUCCUCAUUCAUUGGAAAAUAAUGGCAAAACCUUCGUUUAUUUAGAAUACUUUUGUUUUCCAUUCGUCAGUCGUUUCAAGUUCCUCCCAUUUUUGGGUUCAAAGAAUUCUUCUGAACACGUGAUUUUUCACUAUAAAUGUAAGCGUUUCAUACUAGUUUUUA
Non-coding RNA from Benincasa hispida (wax gourd), 605 nucleotides. The record is from RefSeq and is a predicted model, not a curated record. Lineage: Eukaryota; Viridiplantae; Streptophyta; Magnoliopsida; Cucurbitales; Cucurbitaceae.